GACGAACGCUGGCGGCGCGCCUAACACAUGCAAGUCGAACGGAGCUGCGAGAAGCUUGCUUUUCUUAGCUUAGUGGCGAACGGGUGAGUAACGCGUGAGUAACCUGCCCUGGAGUGGGGGACAACAGUUGGAAACGACUGCUAAUACCGCAUAAGCCCACGAUCCGGCAUCGGAUUGAGGGAAAAGGAUUUAUUCGCUUCAGGAUGGACUCGCGUCCAAUUAGCUAGUUGGUGAGGUAACGGCCCACCAAGGCGACGAUUGGUAGCCGGACUGAGAGGUUGAACGGCCACAUUGGGACUGAGACACGGCCCAGACUCCUACGGGAGGCAGCAGUGGGGGAUAUUGCACAAUGGGGGAAACCCUGAUGCAGCGACGCCGCGUGGAGGAAGAAGGUUUUCGGAUUGUAAACUCCUGUCGUUAGGGACGAUAAUGACGGUACCUAACAAGAAAGCACCGGCUAACUACGUG
RNAcentral lists this ribosomal RNA (468 nucleotides) under uncultured bacterium. RNAcentral's name for it is "partial 16S ribosomal RNA". It matches the Rfam family "Bacterial small subunit ribosomal RNA", at positions 28 to 507 of the family's 1533-position model. The record is from RNAcentral.